This 497-nucleotide ribosomal RNA is filed under the name uncultured bacterium. RNAcentral describes it as "partial 16S ribosomal RNA". It matches the Rfam family "Bacterial small subunit ribosomal RNA", at positions 28 to 507 of the family's 1533-position model. The record is from RNAcentral.
GAUGAACGCUGGCGGCGUGCCUAAUACAUGCAAGUCGAGCGAACAGAUGAGGAGCUUGCUCCUCUGACGUUAGCGGCGGACGGGUGAGUAACACGUGGAUAACCUACCUAUAAGACUGGGAUAACUUCGGGAAACCGGAGCUAAUACCGGAUAAUAUAUUGAACCGCAUGGUUCAAUAGUGAAAGACGGUUUUGCUGUCACUUAUAGAUGGAUCCGCGCCGCAUUAGCUAGUUGGUAAGGUAACGGCUUACCAAGGCAACGAUGCGUAGCCGACCUGAGAGGGUGAUCGGCCACAUUGGAACUGAGACACGGUCCAGACUCCUACGGGAGGCAGCAGUAGGGAAUCGUCCGCAAUGGGCGAAAGCCUGACGGAGCAACGCCGCGUGAGUGAUGAAGGUCUUCGGAUCGUAAAACUCUGUUAUUAGGGAAGAACAAAUGUGUAAGUAACUAUGCACGUCUUGACGGUACCUAAUCAGAAAGCCACGGCUAACUACGUG